CCUACGGGCGGCAGCAGUGGGGAAUAUUGGGCAAUGGGCGCAAGCCUGAUCCAGCAACGCCGCGUGAAGGAAGAAGGCUUUCGGGUUGUAAACCUCUUUUAUUGAGGACGAAACAAAUGACGGUACUCAAUUAAUAAGCCCCGGCUAACUACGUGCCAGCAGCCGCGGUAAUACGUAGGUGGCAAGCGUUAUCCGGAUUUACUGGGUGUAAAGGGCGAGUAGGCGGGGCUGCAAGUCAGAUGUGAAAACCAUGGGCUCAACCCAUGGUCUGCAUUUGAAACUGGAGGUCUUGAGUGAUGGAGAGGCAGGCGGAAUUCCGGGUGUAGCGGUGAAAUGCGUAGAUAUACGGAGGAACACCAGUGGCGAAGGCGGCCUACUGGACAUUAACUGACGCUGAGGCGCGAAAGCGUGGGGAGCAAACAGGAUUAGAUACCCGAGUAGUC
RNAcentral lists this ribosomal RNA (443 nucleotides) under uncultured bacterium. RNAcentral describes it as "partial 16S ribosomal RNA". It matches the Rfam family "Bacterial small subunit ribosomal RNA", at positions 338 to 795 of the family's 1533-position model. The record is from RNAcentral.